Molecule: long non-coding RNA, 354 nt
Filed under: Populus tremula
Lineage: Eukaryota; Viridiplantae; Streptophyta; Magnoliopsida; Malpighiales; Salicaceae
Description: long non-coding RNA (PTRE_LNC001392)
Source: RNAcentral
CCCCCUUCUAUUUUGAAUUUAGAAUCUUAUUGAUUUUGAACUGACAGGGUAUUCAUCACCUUACCCGCCUCCAGGGUACCCGCCAUCAGCGCCUCCGCCACCACCAUACGAAGGGUACCCACCACCACCACCACCACCACACGAAGGGUACCCACCACCACCACCACCUCCAGGGUAUCCAGGAUACCCACCACCGGGGCCACCACCUCCAGGGUAUCCAGGAUACCCACCACCGGGGCCACCGCGUGGGUACCAAGGGUAUUUCGCUGAAGGGUAUCCAACGCCUCCAGGUCCGCCACAGUACCAGCAGUGUUAUCAUUAUGAACACCACCCUUACCAGGAUAAUUAUGGUGG